UAUUUUGAUGGAAAAUUAAAAUGAGAUUUGCGAGGAUAACUCAUCAUUGCUUAUCAUUUCUUUCUCAUUUUCGCGUAGAUGGGGUGGAGAAAUCUCUGAAUCAUAGUCUCUUUAUUUAUAUAAAAAAUCAGGAAAUAACUAUUUUCACUGUGUCAAAUAAAAAAAUUAAUUUUUUUUAAUUUACUUUUCCUCCAAUGCAAGUAUCAUAACCCAAUAUUUUAAGGGCACAGAAAAACACAAGCUUCCGCCUUGCCUACACAAAGCUGCCACCUUGGGUAAAAUUUUUUAGGUCCUUAAGUUUGUGUUCACCUUCGUAGUUAAGUCCUGAAACGCAAUUUCUGCAAAAUAGACAUUGGCAAAGAAGACGACACCACAUUGCUGCUUACCAUAUUUGCAAAGUUUGGUCUCUGUUUAGCAUCAUCAUACCUUCAUGUAGAAAGUAUUUUCAUAGUGUUGUGUAGGUUAAGGAUUUGCUCUACGUUGUAAAAUAACAAAGACUUCCGAGUAAAAUACAAAAUAAUAAAUUUUUAUUAUAUUCGUCAGACUUUAAAGUAGAUUACCCACAAUAAAAACUAUAUUUAUUGUAAUUGAACCCAAUUAAAGCUGUGGUAAAUUAGACAUCGACCACCGAUAAAGAAGCAAAUUUUUAGAAAUUCAGUUGAAGUUAUACACAAUAUAAUGCAAACACUGAUUCAAAAAUAUUGAAAUGUAUGCGUUGUCAAUGAUGUUUUCCUCUCCAUGAGCUUCCACAAAAAUAGUGCACAAAGUUUCCUCUUUCUUUUUUCUUUUCUUUUCC
RNAcentral lists this unclassified non-coding RNA (796 nucleotides) under Hevea brasiliensis (rubber tree). Lineage: Eukaryota; Viridiplantae; Streptophyta; Magnoliopsida; Malpighiales; Euphorbiaceae. The record is from RNAcentral.